This is a non-coding RNA of Heligmosomoides polygyrus, 72 nucleotides long. The record is from Rfam. Lineage: Eukaryota; Metazoa; Nematoda; Chromadorea; Rhabditida; Heligmosomidae.
GCGCUGGUGGUGUAAGGCGUAGCAUUGCUGCUUCGCAAGCAGAAGGUGCAAGUUCGAGCCCCGCCUGGCGCU